AGCGAACGCUGGCGGCAGGCCUAACACAUGCAAGUCGAACGAACUCUUCGGAGUUAGUGGCGGACGGGUGAGUAACACGUUGGAACGUGCCUUUUGUUUCGGAAUAACUCAGGGAAACUUGUGCUAAUACCGAAUGUGCCCUUCGGGGUAAAGAUUUAUCGCCAUUAGAGCGGCCCGCGUCUGAUUAGCUAGUUGGUGAGGUAACGGCUCACCAAGGCGACGAUCAGUAGCUGGUCUGAGAGGAUGACCAGCCACACUGGGACUGAGACACGGCCCAGACACGUACGGGAGGCAGCAGUGGGGAAUCUUGCGCAAUGGGCGAAAGCCUGACGAAGCCAUGCCGCGUGAAUUAUGAAGGUCUUAGGAGUGUAAAAUUCUUUCUACGUGGACGAUAAUGACGGUACCAGGAGAAGAAGCCCCGGCUAACUUCGUG
This 433-nucleotide ribosomal RNA is filed under the name uncultured bacterium. RNAcentral describes it as "partial 16S ribosomal RNA". It matches the Rfam family "Bacterial small subunit ribosomal RNA", at positions 29 to 507 of the family's 1533-position model. The record is from RNAcentral.